This 1089-nucleotide ribosomal RNA is filed under the name Bacillus sp. (in: firmicutes). RNAcentral describes it as "bacterial SSU rRNA". It matches the Rfam family "Bacterial small subunit ribosomal RNA", at positions 61 to 1134 of the family's 1533-position model. Lineage: Bacteria; Bacillati; Bacillota; Bacilli; Caryophanales; Bacillaceae. The record is from RNAcentral.
GUCGAGCGGACAGAAGGGAGCUUGCUCCCGGAUGUUAGCGGCGGACGGGUGAGUAACACGUGGGUAACCUGCCUGUAAGACUGGGAUAACUCCGGGAAACCGGAGCUAAUACCGGAUAGUUCCUUGAACCGCAUGGUUCAAGGAUGAAAGACGGUUUCGGCUGUCACUUACAGAUGGACCCGCGGCGCAUUAGCUAGUUGGUGGGGUAAUGGCUCACCAAGGCGACGAUGCGUAGCCGACCUGAGAGGGUGAUCGGCCACACUGGGACUGAGACACGGCCCAGACUCCUACGGGAGGCAGCAGUAGGGAAUCUUCCGCAAUGGACGAAAGUCUGACGGAGCAACGCCGCGUGAGUGAUGAAGGUUUUCGGAUCGUAAAGCUCUGUUGUUAGGGAAGAACAAGUGCGAGAGUAACUGCUCGCACCUUGACGGUACCUAACCAGAAAGCCACGGCUAACUACGUGCCAGCAGCCGCGGUAAUACGUAGGUGGCAAGCGUUGUCCGGAAUUAUUGGGCGUAAAGGGCUCGCAGGCGGUUUCUUAAGUCUGAUGUGAAAGCCCCCGGCUCAACCGGGGAGGGUCAUUGGAAACUGGGAAACUUGAGUGCAGAAGAGGAGAGUGGAAUUCCACGUGUAGCGGUGAAAUGCGUAGAGAUGUGGAGGAACACCAGUGGCGAAGGCGACUCUCUGGUCUGUAACUGACGCUGAGGAGCGAAAGCGUGGGGAGCGAACAGGAUUAGAUACCCUGGUAGUCCACGCCGUAAACGAUGAGUGCUAAGUGUUAGGGGGUUUCCGCCCCUUAGUGCUGCAGCUAACGCAUUAAGCACUCCGCCUGGGGAGUACGGUCGCAAGACUGAAACUCAAAGGAAUUGACGGGGGCCCGCACAAGCGGUGGAGCAUGUGGUUUAAUUCGAAGCAACGCGAAGAACCUUACCAGGUCUUGACAUCCUCUGACAACCCUAGAGAUAGGGCUUUCCCUUCGGGGACAGAGUGACAGGUGGUGCAUGGUUGUCGUCAGCUCGUGUCGUGAGAUGUUGGGUUAAGUCCCGCAACGAGCGCAACCCUUGAUCUUAGUUGCCAGCAUUUAGUUGG